GUCGAACGGCAGCGCGUGGAGCAAUCCUGGCGGCGAGUGGCGAACGGGUGAGUAAUACAUCGGAACGUGUCCUGUAGUGGGGGAUAGCCCGGCGAAAGCCGGAUUAAUACCGCAUACGAUCUACGGAUGAAAGCGGGGGAUCGCAAGACCUCGCGCUAUAGGGGCGGCCGAUGGCGGAUUAGCUAGUUGGUGGGGUAAAGGCCCACCAAGGCGACGAUCCGUAGCUGGUCUGAGAGGACGACCAGCCACACUGGGACUGAGACACGGCCCAGACUCCUACGGGAGGCAGCAGUGGGGAAUUUUGGACAAUGGGCGCAAGCCUGAUCCAGCAAUGCCGCGUGUGUGAAGAAGGCCUUCGGGUUGUAAAGCACUUUUGUCCGGAAAGAAAUCCUCUGGGUUAAUACCCCGGGGGGAUGACGGUACCGGAAGAAUAAGCACCGGCUAACUACGUGCCAGCAGCCGCGGUAAUACGUAGGGUGCGAGCGUUAAUCGGAAUUACUGGGCGUUAAGCGUGCGCAGGCGGUGAUGUAAGACCGAUGUGAAAUCCCCGGGCU
RNAcentral lists this ribosomal RNA (554 nucleotides) under Burkholderia sp. Ms106. Its description in RNAcentral is "bacterial SSU rRNA". It matches the Rfam family "Bacterial small subunit ribosomal RNA", at positions 61 to 609 of the family's 1533-position model. The record is from RNAcentral. Lineage: Bacteria; Pseudomonadati; Pseudomonadota; Betaproteobacteria; Burkholderiales; Burkholderiaceae.